GAAUUCGCCCUUAGAGUUUGAUCCUGGCUCAGGAUGAACGCUAGCGGCAGGCCUAACACAUGCAAGUCGAGCGGUAGAGAGAAGCUUGCUUCUCUUGAGAGCGGCGGACGGGUGAGUAAUGCCUAGGAAUCUGCCUGGUAGUGGGGGAUAACGUUCGGAAACGGACGCUAAUACCGCAUACGUCCUACGGGAGAAAGCAGGGGACCUUCGGGCCUUGCGCUAUCAGAUGAGCCUAGGUCGGAUUAGCUAGUUGGUGAGGUAAUGGCUCACCAAGGCGACGAUCCGUAACUGGUCUGAGAGGAUGAUCAGUCACACUGGAACUGAGACACGGUCCAGACUCCUACAGGAGGCAGCAGUGGGGAAUAUUGGACAAUGGGCGAAAGCCUGAUCCAGCCAUGCCGCGUGUGUGAAGAAGGUCUUCGGAUUGUAAAGCACUUUAAGUUGGGAGGAAGGGCAGUUGCCUAAUACGUAACUGUUUUGACGUUACCGACAGAAUAAGCACCGGCUAACUCUGUGCCAGCAGCCGCGGUAAUACAGAGGGUGCAAGCGUUAAUCGGAAUUACUGGGCGUAAAGCGCGCGUAGGUGGUUUGUUAAGUUGGAUGUGAAAUCCCCGGGCUCAACCUGGGAACUGCAUUCAAAACUGACU
This 647-nucleotide ribosomal RNA is filed under the name uncultured bacterium. Its description in RNAcentral is "bacterial SSU rRNA". It matches the Rfam family "Bacterial small subunit ribosomal RNA", at positions 1 to 638 of the family's 1533-position model. The record is from RNAcentral.